RNAcentral lists this small RNA (125 nucleotides) under Marmota monax (woodchuck). Lineage: Eukaryota; Metazoa; Chordata; Mammalia; Rodentia; Sciuridae. The record is from RNAcentral.
GUCAGGUGUGCUGGCACAUGCCUGUAAUCCCAGUGGCUCUGGAGGCUGAGGCAGGAGGAUAGCAAGUUCAAAGCCAACCUCAGCAGUGGUGAGGCAUUAAGCAACUCAGUGAGACCCUGUCUCUA